This is a non-coding RNA of Phalacrocorax carbo (great cormorant), 2415 nucleotides long. NCBI's taxonomy places the organism in Eukaryota, Metazoa, Chordata, Aves, Suliformes, Phalacrocoracidae. The record is from RefSeq and is a predicted model, not a curated record.
CCACUUCUGCUAAUUUAGGCAAUAUGUUAAGGUAGUUUUCUGUUGGAGGGAACAUCAGGAAGGACAGAGAAGGAUACCAGAAAAAUCUAGCCUCUCCCUUCUUACCUUGGCUUUCUACAGAGGCCUUUUCCUCCAUCCUUUUCGUUGGAGUUCUAGGGAGUGCCUGUGUUUUCAUAACCUCCUUUUGUUUAAUGCCAUUGUCCACUUUUACUCCACUCUGAGAAGAUUAGGACUGAAGACUGAAACUCUAAGACAGAAAAGUAACAGUUCUGUUUCUUUAGUAGCCUUAAAAACCCAUUCUUUCUCACCACCGCACUUGGGUUUUCUGUCAACUGUUCACUGCUGUGCCAAGAUGUGGUGGAAGCUUAUUUCUCUGCUUGCUUCUUCUGGUAAGAGCUUAGUGAAGGUUGAAUAAAACAAAGUAAGCAAAACCAUAGCCUUCCCAAGAUGUACAAGACUCAGUUCUCUGGCUUUUGGGUUCUCUUACAGCACUAAUAGACCUGGACAGCCAUUAUGGUGUGGGUCUUGCACGAUAACAUGUCUAAAGACAGGUUUUUCUUAUUUUUUUCAGUGCUGCUUCUCAUCCUCCUGAUAUGUAGUCUGUGUAUCAUGUAUAUCUUGGGUUCUGCUUCCUCCCAAGGCUUUGAAGAUGACACUGAAGAUGAUACUGCUUUUAGCAGAUAACGAACUUUUCCAAUAAUCUGUGAUUCACAGUAUUCUUUGCUUAAGGUACACUGCCACCUAGCAACAGUUUCCCUUCCCUCCCAGUUCUCUUGACCUACUUUGUUGGGGUUGUUCAGCUUUAGUUUGUACCUGGUCUGGUCUUGAUUGGUAUCCAGAACCUAUCAGUAGAUGCCAUCCUGGUAAAUGUGUGUGUGUGGCGUGGAGAUAUUUCUAGUGGCAAUAAGAACUGCUAGCUUCAGGUUUCUCACUAAAAUACAAUGUUUUUUUACUUUUACAGUGUUUUUUCCUACCAGUGUUUUUGUGAAAAAUGCCUGUAAUUUUUUUUCUUUGAAGUGCUUGGUUUUGCUUUCUUCUGUUCAUUAUUCUUUGGAGGAAAUAGAAUUAAAGGGCGAGAAUUAAAGAGAAUUGCUUUCAGCUCUUUUUUUUUCUUCCAGUGCAACAUGAAGCAUGGAGCAUCCAUCUACAGCACUGUACAGAAAUGCAAGUAGCUUAGAGAAAGUACUAAAUGAUUAACCCUUCUGCUCCUCCUCCAAGUUGAUAGUCCUAAAGGAGAUAUUAACUACUUCUGUAAGCAUGAUGGCGAAAUUUACCACCUAAUGUGUUUUAAUCGUUGGUGAUAAAACUAGAGAGCUACAUUGUCAGGCAACCACAGGACAGACUGGAGUCCCGACCCACAGAGCUACCUCGGUCUCCGACUCCCCCAGCAAGGAGUGACUUCAGUGGGAUGCAGGGACUUGGAUGCUUCCUGAGCUUGCAGUCUUGCCCGUGGACUCCACCUCGGUUUCCCUGCUGUUAACUGGAGAGCUGACGGCAGGAGGUUCUAGCUGAAUGCAACAGAUGCGUCCUUGUUGAUUUGGGAGAGUAUUGCAUGGUGUCCUGACAGGCUCAGGCCCUGUGGAGGCACGUGAUGGUAGAACAGAUGAGCAAAAUGAAGCUAAAAUGGGAUGCUAGAGGAGCGUCCUCUCUGUCACGCAGCUGUCCCUUUCUGACAGUGCGGUGAAAACCCAGAUUGCCACGGUGCACGUUGCAGGCUUGUGUCCAUAGCGGGAAGCUGAAAAUACAUCUCCUUCCUAGUCUGUGGCAUCCCAGGGACCUAUCAGAGAGACUGUGCAUGUUUGUCACAAGCUACUCUUGUUGCUUGCUGACAGCCUCACUCUGCACCUAUGGAGUUCUUGUUUGUAUGAGUCAGUCUGCUACUGAUGGCUAAGGCAGAGUGAAGCACUGCUAAGUGUGGUUGCCUGGCUGAUUUCUUGUGCUCCCCAGCAAAAUCAGCAAACUGCUUUGCGGCCUGCUCUCUCCUCACCCCAGUUCCUUGCUUCUCAGAAGGCCCUUCCCCAGAUAUUUCCUGAGUUGUCAUUACAAAUUCUUAUGUCACUUGCCUUGCCUAAAAAGAUUGAACAAAAUGUGAAAUUUUUGAACGAUAUGUUGAAAAAAUGAUAGAAAAUUUCCACAGUUUCAUUCCUUUUUAAAGUGAUGUAGUAUUUAGGAAAAAAAAUGGUCUUAUUUCAACACUGUGUGAGAAUGCAGAAGUUUUGCAAUUAUUAGCUCUGGCAGUAAUUACUUUAAAAAGAAUAAAACCAAAAGGAACCUGUGUAUUCCUUAACAAGAGAAACUACUGCUGUUAAAGCACAGUAGACAGAAUUGACAGGGAAUUGGUGAUUAAAAUGAAGUUCCUGAGAAGUCAGCACUUCAGUCUUUUUGUACUCUUUCUUUCCCUUUGUGUACAUGCCA